This 547-nucleotide long non-coding RNA is filed under the name Olea europaea (common olive). RNAcentral describes it as "long non-coding RNA (OEUR_LNC013191)". The record is from RNAcentral. Lineage: Eukaryota; Viridiplantae; Streptophyta; Magnoliopsida; Lamiales; Oleaceae.
CCUGAGUCUCUUUUUUCAUACUUCAGCAGUCAACAUCCUCUCCACACCCUCCGCGAACAAAAGUAAGUCCAUGUCUUAAUCUUGAUAAGGGUUCAUUUCUUUGUGCAUAUUACGUGCUCUUCUUGAUUGUUGAACUUGGAUUUUCAUUUCCUUCAAGAGAAUCAAGUAAAUUUCUGGCUAUUUUUCCUGCUAUUCUCGAGAUUUGAUAAUUUUAUUGUUCAAGGUAUUUAGUAUCUUCUAUACAUUAUGCACUUUGAAUAGAGGAUGGGCUGCCAUGACUAAUCUUGAUUCAACUGGAGUUCCAAGUUCAAGUGAGCUUGAGGUUCUUGUAAUUAUAUUUCUUCUGUUUAAUCUUUUUUGAGACAUUAAAGUUCUUACGGGAAAAAUUAACUCUUGUAUCAGGGAAAAUACAAGGCAGUGGUGGAUUGUUGGUUUCUUUGAUUGGGAUCCCUUGUUUUCAUGGAACUUUAUGCUGAUAAUCGGAGAUUACUAUUAUAAUUUAUUCCCAGUAAGCACUUAUAUCCAUCUUUUUACUGCUUAGAAUGAU